UUACUUUUUCCUAUUUAUUGUAUUUUUACUGCAGAAGCCUGCGACUCUUCGCAUGAAAUCCAGUUUUACAAGUUCUUUAUACACACUUUAAUUGGGGAGUAAGCAGGCGAAUGAGUUACAAAAAGUGUGAUCGGGUGAGGCGAACAUGAAAGAAUAUAUGUGUAAAAAAUAAACAUACACUCGAAUUAAGAACCUCUUCCUUUUUUUGAAGUCGGGUAAAAAGAGAACAUGAUGAAUUGACAUAUGAUAGAAAUGAAGGGAAAGAUAGGAUCACAAGUUAGAACUUUACUAUAGUCUCACUGUUAAAUAACACUGGUAGCGAGUUAGUGUAACCUUGCAUUCCAAUUCCACUGCACAAUAGUUUGAAUUGUAAUUUUAAUGCUUAUUAUUAUUUAUAAAUAACAAAUUUAUAUGAUUCAGCUUGUGUAUUUUUCUACAUAACACAAGUUUUUGGUAAUAGUAUAAAUAAAUAAUAGUAUUAAAAAAUACCCAACAUAAUGAAAUAUAUCUAACUUACCUUCAAUUUAGUAACCAGCAAUUCUACACAAGCAAGCAAUCAAACCAAAGAUUUAUUUUUUAUAAAAAAAACACUAGAAAAUGCUAGAGAAGUCAUAGUUUGUAUAUAUUGAUUUUGAUUUGACAUUACCGCCUCUCAUGGCUUCCUAUCAGACAAGGUUAUAAACUGCAUAUUCUUUGUCUUUUAUACUCCAUUCUAUACCAUCCUCUCCUUAUUUUAAAACUUUUAUGGGGAAUGCCCAUGGGCCAAUACAACAUUGGAACCCAGGUAUAAAACUAUAUGGAGAUGAUAUUAUGGGAACUUUUUGAACAGAUUGUUCAAAUAUUACUUGUCUAUGUAGUUUUUUUCUAUGUUAUUACACAUGUGUAAUGAUUCUGUAGGUUUACGUUUGAAUGUUAACAAGUUGCAAGUUAAAUAUUUGGCCUGUCGGCCAUGAUGGUCUGUUUGAUGACGUUACAUGAACAAAUCCUUUACAAACGGGAUUUUUUUUUUAGUUUGACGUUUACAAGUAACUUUGUGACGUCAAAGUGGACGACAGCGAUUUUGACGUUUGGAAAAUUUGAAAAUAUACAUUUUUUAAAAUUAAGUUUUAUAAGAAAUCCUUAACCUUUAUUAAUUAAUAUCGAUUUAUUUCGGACCCUUAUUCCAUCAAUAAUGUUAAAUACUGUUAGAUGUGUUAUCAUCGCAUGAUAAAUGAGGCGCUCAAAAGAGGAAAUUUCCACAUCUCAAUGU
Bicyclus anynana (squinting bush brown) is the source of this 1249-nucleotide long non-coding RNA. RefSeq lists it as uncharacterized. The record is from RefSeq and is a predicted model, not a curated record. The transcript is spliced from 2 exons. Lineage: Eukaryota; Metazoa; Arthropoda; Insecta; Lepidoptera; Nymphalidae.